RNAcentral lists this ribosomal RNA (1369 nucleotides) under uncultured bacterium. RNAcentral describes it as "bacterial SSU rRNA". It matches the Rfam family "Bacterial small subunit ribosomal RNA". The record is from RNAcentral.
GAGCGGGAUUGCAGCAAUGCAGUCCAGCGGCAGACGGGUGAGUAACGCGUAGGAACCUACCUUUUUUUGGGGAAUAGCUCGUCGAAAGACGGGGUAAUACCGCAUAAGUCCGUAAGGAGAAAGCCGUAAGGCGAAAAAAGAGGGGCCUGCGUCCUAUCAGCUAGUUGGUGAGUUAAUAGCCCACCAAGGCGAUGACGGGUAGCCGAUGUGAGAGCAUGAUCGGUCACAAGGUAACUGAGACACGGUGCCUACACCUACGGGUGGCAGCAACUGGGAAUCUUGCGCAAUGGACGAAAGUCUGACGCAGCGACACCGCGUGUGGGAUGAAGUAUUUCGGUAUGUAAACCACUGUGGCAGGGGAACAAAAAAAUGAGGGUACCCUGCUAGAAAGCACCUGCUAACUACGUGCCAGAAGCCUCGGUAAUACGUAGGGUGCAAGCGUUAUCCGGAUUUACUGGGCGUAAAGAGUGUCGUAGGUGGGUAUGUGCGUGGCGGGUUUAAGCCUGAAGCUCAACUUCAGAAAGGCUCGUCAUACGGCAUAUCUUGAGUCUGUUAGGGGGAACUGGAAUUCUCGGUGUAGGGGUGAAAUCCGUAGAUAUCGAGAAGAACGCCAAGGGUGAAGACAGGUUCCUGGGACAGCACUGACACUGAUGAACGACAGCUAGGGGAGCGAAAGGGAUUAGAGACCCCUGUAGUCCUAGCCGUAAACUUUGCUCGCUAGAUGGUCUGAUUUUUCGGGCUGUCGUAAGCUAACGCGUUAAGCGAGCCGCCUGGGGAGUACGGCCGCAAGGCUAAAACUCAAAGGAAUUGACGGGGGAGCGCACAACCGGUGGAGCAUGUGGUUUAAUUCGAUACGAAGCGAAAGACCUUACCCAGGUUUGACAUGUACCUGCACGGUUAUGGAAACAUAGCCUUCUUCGAGAGUGGUACACAGGUGAUGCAUGGCUGUCGUCAGCUCGUGGCGUGAGUCGUCCGCUUAAGUGCGGUAACGAGCGCAACCCCUAUCUUGUGUUAAAUAUUCACAAGAGACUGCCUAUCUUUUAGAUGGGAGGAAGGAGGGGAUGAUGUCAAGUCAGCACGUCCCUUACAUCUGGGGCAACACACAUCCUACAAUGGCGAUGACAACGGGUCGCGACGGGGUAACCCUGAGCUAAUCCUAAUAAACAUCGCCCCAGUUCAGAUUGUGGGCUGAAACCCGCCCACAUGAAGUCGGAAUCGGUAGUAAUCGCAGGUCAGCAGGCUGCGGUGAAUACGUUCUCGCUCCUUGUACACACUGCCCGUCAAAUGAGCAAAGCUGGCAAUGCCCGAAGCGGAUGACCCUAACUCGCAAGAGAGGGGCGCCACUACGGCAAGGUCAGUGAUGAGCGUU